AUAUGGAGAUGUUGAGCCAACAAAUAAUGGUGUAAGGUUUUACAAAUGGUUUACAGAGGGGAAUGAGAGGGGAAACUGGCUUCAGAACCUGAAAUAUGGUGUUUUUGGGCUUGGAAACAGGCAGUAUGAGCAUUUUAAUAAGAUAGCUAAGGUGGUGGAUGACUUGAUUGCAGAACAGGGUGGCAAGUGGCUUGUCCCGGUGGGUCUUGGAGAUGAUGAUCAAUGCAUUGAGGAUGACUUUACUGCAUGGAUUGUCCCAGCUAUUUGGCGUUGGCUAUUGAAUGCGUCUGUUUCUUUGUGCUUGUCGUGGGCCACCUACAAAUAUUCAACAUUGAGACGAAGGCAAAAAUGAAAUCACAUCAGAUGCCUGAGCAGGUGAUAAUGUCAUCCACUUUAAACUUUAUUAGCUCACUUUUCUAUUUGUUUCAUAGGUUGUUUCGUUUCUCAAUUAGUUUCCAUGACAUAUUGUUAUAUUCACAGGUUGUGUUUUGGAAGUGGAUUACGCCAAAGAUGUUGGGGCUGGUCACACAAACAUCAAUGUAUCAUUGGUCAAUAGAAG
Long non-coding RNA from Magnolia sinica, 559 nucleotides. RefSeq lists it as uncharacterized. The record is from RefSeq and is a predicted model, not a curated record. The transcript is spliced from 6 exons. Lineage: Eukaryota; Viridiplantae; Streptophyta; Magnoliopsida; Magnoliales; Magnoliaceae.